GUUUGAUCCUGGCUCAGGAUGAACGCUAGCGGCAGGCUUAACACAUGCAAGUCGAGGGGUAUAGGUUUUCGGAUCUAGAGACCGGCGCACGGGUGCGUAACGCGUAUGCAAUCUACCUUUUACAGAGGGAUAGCCCAGAGAAAUUUGGAUUAAUACCUCAUAGUAUUAUGAAAUGGCAUCAUUUUAUAAUUAAAGUCACAACGGUAAAAGAUGAGCAUGCGUCCCAUUAGCUAGUUGGUAAGGUAACGGCUUACCAAGGCAACGAUGGGUAGGGGUCCUGAGAGGGAGAUCCCCCACACUGGUACUGAGACACGGACCAGACUCCUACGGGAGGCAGCAGUGAGGAAUAUUGGACAAUGGGCGCAAGCCUGAUCCAGCCAUGCCGCGUGCAGGAUGACGGUCCUAUGGAUUGUAAACUGCUUUUGUACGAGAAGAAACACUACUUCGUGAAGUAGCUUGACGGUAUCGUAAGAAUAAGGAUCGGCUAACUCCGUGCCAGCAGCCGCGGUAAUACGGAGGAUCCAAGCGUUAUCCGGAAUCAUUGGGUUUAAAGGGUCCGUAGGCGGUUUAGUAAGUCAGUGGUGAAAGCCCAUCGCUCAACGGUGGAACGGCCAUUGAUACUGCUAGACUUGAAUUAUUAGGAAGUAACUAGAAUAUGCAGUGUAGCGGUGAAAUGCUUAGAGAUUACAUGGAAUACCAAUUGCGAAGGCAGGUUACUACUAAUUGAUUGACGCUGAUGGACGAAAGCGUGGGUAGCGAACAGGAUUAGAUACCCUGNUAGUCCACGCCGUACNNG
Molecule: ribosomal RNA, 796 nt
Filed under: bacterium enrichment culture clone 8(2009)
Lineage: Bacteria
Also listed under: 1 other name
Description: bacterial SSU rRNA
Rfam family: Bacterial small subunit ribosomal RNA
Source: RNAcentral